CGGUAGGCCUAACACAUGCAAGUCGAACGGCAGCACAGGAGAGCUUGCUCUCUGGGUGGCGAGUGGCGGACGGGUGAGGAAUACAUCGGAAUCUACUUUUUCGUGGGGGAUAACGUAGGGAAACUUACGCUAAUACCGCAUACGACCUACGGGUGAAAGCAGGGGAUCUUCGGACCUUGCGCGAUUGAAUGAGCCGAUGUCGGAUUAGCUAGUUGGCGGGGUAAAGGCCCACCAAGGCGACGAUCCGUAGCUGGUCUGAGAGGAUGAUCAGCCAACACUGGCAAGCCUGAGACACGGUACAGACUCCUACGGGAGGCAGCAGUGGGGAAUAUUGGACAAUUGGGCGCAAGCCUGAUCCAGCCAUACCGCGUGGGUGAAGAAGGCCUUCGGGUUGUAAAGCCCUUUUGUUGGGAAAGAAAUCCAGCUGGCUAAUACCCGGUUGGGAUGACGGUACCCAAAGAAUAAGCACCGGCUAACUUCGUGCCA
RNAcentral lists this ribosomal RNA (486 nucleotides) under Stenotrophomonas maltophilia. Its description in RNAcentral is "bacterial SSU rRNA". It matches the Rfam family "Bacterial small subunit ribosomal RNA", at positions 40 to 510 of the family's 1533-position model. The record is from RNAcentral. Lineage: Bacteria; Pseudomonadati; Pseudomonadota; Gammaproteobacteria; Lysobacterales; Lysobacteraceae.